CUCACCAGUCAGGAGCCUGGGGCAGAGCAGCUGAUGACAACUCUCCACCAAGACCGUCUCCUCCGGCACGGCACAGUGAAGGACGGUGCUCGGGAAAGGACGCCAAUGCAGAAGGCCAGUGGGCAGAUGGGGACAUCGAGUCGCAGUGACCCGGGGAGGGCGGAGUCAGCUCCCCUGGGCAAGCGCACUUUGGAGGAAAAGACACCAAGUGGGAUCCUUGGAGGAUUCCGCCAGGAGGAAGGGGCAUUCCAGGCUGAAAGGACAACACACGAAAAGCACUGAGCUAUAGAUAUGGAUAUAGAGAGAGAGAGCAGUGGGAAAGACGGAC
Molecule: long non-coding RNA, 328 nt
Filed under: Heterocephalus glaber (naked mole-rat)
Lineage: Eukaryota; Metazoa; Chordata; Mammalia; Rodentia; Bathyergidae
Description: lncRNA (ENSHGLG00100044711.1)
Source: RNAcentral